GUGCUUGCUUUAGCAGCACAUAUACUAAAACUGAAAUGAUACAGAAAAGAGUCACAUGGCCCCUGCUCAAGGAUGACAUGCACAUUCAUGAAGUCCAUAUUUUU
Molecule: small nuclear RNA, 104 nt
Organism: Colobus angolensis palliatus
Lineage: Eukaryota; Metazoa; Chordata; Mammalia; Primates; Cercopithecidae
Source: Ensembl